AUCUGUGUUCAAUAUUAUUAUAUGUUAUUUUAAUUAUUAUUGUUGUUGCAAAAUUCCUUAACCCCCGCUUGCAAUGGGGGUUGACUAAUAUAAAUCGCCUUGUAACGUUAUACAAAUAUGACUUAAAUCCAGGUAGUUAAAGACUAGACUCCGACAUGCUUUGUACUGUAAACUUUAUUUAUAAAGCUCGAUCAACAAUGACGUUAAAUAUCGUAUACAUACAUAUCAACGAUCUUAUAAACCUACAAUCGAAUUUUUCGUAUUUAUUCCAAAGUAUGUGAUAAAUACCGCCACCCCCUUGAGACAUGAAGUUUUUACAGUACAAGGCGGCUGCCCCUUUCUUAAAAGCGAAACGCAUUACUGCUUUACGGCAGAAACAGGACGUCUUGAGAGCCCGCACAGAUAGUAAGCACCAUCACCCUACCUACUUCUGCAGCAUUUAGGUUGUAGAUAUUUAUGGGUUCCGAUAACCACUUAACACCAGGUGGACCGCGAGCUCGUCCAAGCAUCUAAAAAAUAUACUUGGUCUAGCCAUAAAUAUUGUUACAAUUUAAAUAAAUAAAAUAUUACAUUUGAAUUUGGAGUCUGUCAUUUUUAUAUGAUUGCUCAUUGAGUUUUCUCAUUUUAGCGCCAAUACAUCGUACAAUAUUUUGCGAUAUUAAAAUGGAGUGGGGUGAUAAAGAGAACCGAAUCGCUGUGAUUGCAUUACACAAAGUAGAAAAAGAUCUGGCCGUCCACGUAGUGUUCGUACGAAAAAGGUGGUCAAAGCAGUAAGGGAAAGAAUUCGAAGAAAUCCUGCGCGAAAGCAAAAGAUUUUAUCUCGGGAGAUGAAGAUAGCACCUAGAACCAUGUCGCGUAUUUUAAAAGAUGACUUAGGACUUGCAGCCUAUAAGAGACGUACUGGUCAUUUCUUAACUGAUAAUUUAAAAGAGAAUAGAGUGGUAAAAUCGAAACAACUACUGAAGCGGUACGCAAAGGGAGGUCAUAGAAAAAUUUAGUUUACGAAUGAGACAUUAUUUACAAUUGAGCAACAUUUUAACAAACAAAAUGACCGUAUUUAUGCUCAAAGCUCUAAGGAAGCUUCCCAAUUAGUCGACAGAGUGUAACGUGGGCACUAUCCGACUUCGGUGAUGGUUUGGUGGAGUAUCAGCUAUGAAGGAGUGACUGAGCCAUAGUUUUGUGAAAAAGGUAUCAAAACAUCGGCACAAGUAUAUCAAGAUACCAUUCUUGAGAAGGUAGUGAAGCCUCUUAACAACACCAUGUUCAAUAAUCAAGAAUGGUCCUUCCAGCAAGACUCGGCGCCAGGUCAUAAAGCUCGGUCUACGCAGUCUUGGUUGGAAACGAACGUUUCGGACUUCAUCAGAGCUGAAGACUGGCCGUCGUCUAGUCCCGAUCUUAAUCCGCUGGAUUAUGAUUUAUGGUCAGCUUUAGAGCUUGCUCUUACCACCAUUAUAAUUUGGAGUCCCUAAAACAAUCCGUAUGAUUGGCAGUGAAAAUUUUUCCCAUGGAAAGAGUGCGUGUUUCUAUUGAUAACUGGCCUCAACGUUUAAAGGACUGUAUUGCAGCCAAUGGAGACCUCUUCGAAUAAGCUUUUUAUACUUUAAAUUGUUUUAUAUUUAUGUAUUAAACUAACACACUGUAAAAGUAAUAAAUGUUAUUUGCCAUAGA
Long non-coding RNA from Bombyx mori (domestic silkworm), 1668 nucleotides. RefSeq lists it as uncharacterized. The transcript is spliced from 2 exons. The record is from RefSeq and is a predicted model, not a curated record. Lineage: Eukaryota; Metazoa; Arthropoda; Insecta; Lepidoptera; Bombycidae.